Molecule: long non-coding RNA, 1917 nt
Filed under: Linum usitatissimum (flax)
Lineage: Eukaryota; Viridiplantae; Streptophyta; Magnoliopsida; Malpighiales; Linaceae
Description: long non-coding RNA (LUSI_LNC005206)
Source: RNAcentral
CUCUGCAAUCUGGAAGAUGUCAAAUUUUCAAAUAUGGAAAAACAGUGAGAGAGACCGAGUAGCAGGAAUUGUAGUGGCGACCUUCCUUGGGGACUACGUCUUAAUAUAACUUGACUCCGACCAACAUGUACAUAUAAUAAUUGAUUAUUAAUCCAGCCGGACAAAAAAAGAGCUAUGAAAAUGGCUGGAAAUUUCAGAGAAGUUGACGCGGUUACCACCAAAUGCUCCCUUUCCCUUCUCUCUAUCGCUCAAGAACUCCACUAGUUUCUUCUAUCCUUCCACAUUCUGUCGCCGGAAACAUUCUCCGUGGCUGCAUCAUCCUUCCACCCAGCCACCUUUGUACAUACCAGCGCCGCUCUUUCGUUUUUCCGACCAAAGAAGAGUUGUCGUGAAGCAGCACAUCCCUUCUACGACUCCAGUUAUCUCAAGGGUCAACUCCAGCUGUAACAGUUGUGAACAAAGUUAAAACUGUGUAUCUACUGCAUUUUCAUCGUCGUUUUAUGGGAUGAACACAUAGGCUUGGUUUGGCAACAAGAAAGUUGAGUUAGGAUAGUGGAAAAUAGUUGAGUUGAGGUUAGGAGGGGUUGUGUAAAGAAUGUUACUUGGAAUCCUGAUAUCGCUUGAUCCAAGUUUCUUUCCAUAAUCCCUCCCUACUCCAACUCAACUUUCUUACACCGAUCUCAACUCAGCUUUCUUAGAAAUCAUGACUGUUCUUGCCAAACCAAGCCUAAACCUCACCAGAUAGUCACAAUUGAGAAAAGAUCCUCGCAGAGCGAUUGAUUCAAAUGGCCAUUGAUGGAAAUUCUCAAUCGAACAAAACUCUACUUACUCAACUGGCUCACCCUGCUUGUGUAACUGUGAAGGGGAAUGAAAUGGAAACACAGAUCUUCGCCUGUUUUUAUGCAUUUACAGAAUAACAGAUACAUUCUAGCUAUUUCACAUGAAUAACACAUACCGGCCCUGUUUUGAAUCACUUUCUAUCAAAUCCCAAAAUCAAACGACCUCAAAGAAAAACUUGAGGAAGGAUUUCCCCAUCUUAAACAGCUACCUGAGCAAAGGAAAAUCUAAGAAGCUAAAGCCAAACAAGUGCACAGGAAGAACAAAUUUCCCCAUGUUAAACACUACACAGGUAUCUGUAACUGCUCUUUUGUUAGCUGGAGUUUGAAAUCUCCCAACCACACCAAUCCAAGUUUCAUAGUCCUCCAAUUAGGUGAACUUUUAACAAAAUGAAAAUCAUCCGUGUCUUACUUAUCAGUUAUCUGGGACACAUUGUCCAACUCAACCAAUGCUAGUUUGUUUAAUGAGCAGCUCAACAAGUCAUGAUUGUGCGUAAACAAAUCAAACAAGUGUUCGACAAAGAUUCAUGUUUGUAUAUUAAUCAUUUCUUCUUACUCACAACCGUACAAUUAUGAUCUCUAACAACUUGGUUGAUGAUCAAAACUUGGAAUAUGGGAAGAUAACACUGACCUGGGAUACAAACUCAAUAUUUGAGUGUUCUUCUUCCUCUGAUACGGUAGCUAAAGCCAUACAACUUACUGCAGUUGCAUACCCACAUCCUCAAUCAGCCCAGAACUAUGCUUCCACCGCUUCUGAAAAGGUAGCUUAAUCUGAUGGAUUAUGCUUCUCACAACAAAAUCUCCUUUUGGGGGAUUCUGAACCAAUCUCAUCGGAAGGGAAAUCGUAAUUUCUUCGGCCUUUCGGAGCCACUGCUUUCUACCUGUGACCACGCCAGCAUAGUCGAGCUCCAGAGAGCUUCAUUCUGUGGCAUAAGAAAAUUCACCGACGGUGGGAUAUCCAGUGUGGUUCAGGAAUCAGGACCACGGAGAAGGAAUUGGCGGCAGGUAGGGUUAAUCGGAGAAGGAAUGAAGAAAGGGAGUUACAACUUUCGAAAAACAUCGCCCGAAAAUAAAAAUUUAC